AAGGGCACCACAAGAACGCGUGGAGCAUGUGGCUUAAUUUGACUCAACGCGGGAAAUCUUACCGGGUCCGGACACACUGAGGAUUGACAGACAAAUACACACACUUUUACGGUGUGUGCAUGAAAUAUGCUAGUUCUUUCAUGAUUAUGUGAUAGGUGGUGCAUGGCCGUUCUUAGUUCGUGGAGUGAUCUGUCUGCUUAAUUGCGUUUCACUAAAGGCACAUACACAUAAUAUUGAUGCGUUGUGUGUAUAAUUUAUAAUUAUACUCAUACACACAUAUUAUAUUGUGCUUUGAAAGCAACGAACGUGACCGCAACCUCUUGUUGCCUGUAUAUAUGUGUAUUUUAUACACACCACAGGCUAUUAUAAACUAGAGGGACCGCUGUUACUUUCUUUUAAACCAGAGGAAGGUUGCGGCAAUAACAGGUCUGUGAUGCCCUUAGAUGUUCCGGGCUGCACACGUGCUACAAUGAUCAUUGCAGUGCGCAUCUCAUUUUGUUAUACACUGCUUGUGCGUAUGUGCACCAUAUAUUUAUAUGUGUGUGUAUGUAUUGCACGCAGUAAAGCCUACUUCGAAAGUUGUGGGUAAUCAAUUUGAAGUAAUGAUUUCUCCAAAUAUAUACUGCACACUCAUAUACAGUGUCUUAUGUCCAUGAAAAUAUUUUAUAUUUUUGUGUGUGCAUUCGAUGCUCGUAUGUGCAAUUGUCAAUUCAUGGUGGGGACAGACCAUUGUUAAUUGUUGGUCUCGGUCUUAACUAGGAAUGCCUUGUACGGGUCUUUGGUUCAACAAACCACCCGGAAUACGUCCCUGCCCUUUGUACACACCGCCCGUCGCUCUUACCGAUGGACUUCUCUGUGAGUUUGAGGGACUGGAUUUUAUAUCUAUGGAAACUCAAACGAACAGUGUGGUCUAAAGG
Molecule: ribosomal RNA, 917 nt
Filed under: Haynesina sp. S16
Lineage: Eukaryota; Foraminifera; Rotaliida; Nonionidae
Description: SSU rRNA
Rfam family: Eukaryotic small subunit ribosomal RNA
Source: RNAcentral